Suricata suricatta (meerkat) is the source of this 3041-nucleotide long non-coding RNA. RefSeq lists it as uncharacterized. Lineage: Eukaryota; Metazoa; Chordata; Mammalia; Carnivora; Herpestidae. The record is from RefSeq and is a predicted model, not a curated record. The transcript is spliced from 2 exons.
CUCGCCGGGGUGGGGACGGGGGCGGGGACGUUGCGACUGGGUACCAUUCCCAUCCGGAGGGGCUGCAGAGCUAACGUGGCCGACCCUCGCUACCUCAAGCCUGGGACGGGAUGUGGGACCGUGGUAAGCCAGUGGCUCCCUCCCAUCCCCCCCAUCAGGCCUCGGAACAGGCCGUGACCUCGCCCCUGAAGUGGCUCCAGCUCCCUUCCCGGCUCCUUCCUGUCCAAGACAAUGGGGCAGGAAGCAGGUGUUGGGGGCCUAGAACCCACUCCGCGACCUCCCCUGAGGCUGGAAGGGGCAUAAGAGCGCCCUCCUGUGGCCCACGCAAGAGCGCUGUGGGCCCGCAUCCGGAGGAAGACGGACUGCACCUCCGAAGGGGUGCUGGGGGCAGGAGACUUCAUAUACCGGCGCCCCUGGGGCCGGGCAGGCUCAGGGGAGCCGCGCCCCUCUGAGGUUCGGUGGGCCCGGGAACCCUCCGCACCAGCCAGCGCUCACCGCCUGCAGGAAGUCGGUCAGUUCCUUCCUUCGGUUCCUGCACUUGGCCGCGGCCAGCUUGUUCCGCUCGCGCCUCACUCGACGGCGCUCCUCCUCCUCCGGGCUGAUCUGGGGGUGGGGUAGAAGAAUCGGAUCAGUGGGGUAGACUUCGGGCCGCUGGUUUGCCCGGCACUCGCCUGGUGCGGUGGCCAAGGGCUAGGACCCUAGCGGAGGGCAUAGCAGCGCGGGGCGCCCCCAGCCAGCGCUUCAGGGACCACUGCACGGCGACUGGUUCCCCGCAUUCACGCUUUAGUAAGGCCGAAUUAAUCACACUUCCUCCUCGCACCCUGCUUUUGGCUCCUCUGAUUACCCUCUCAGAAUGCUCCCCCAACACACACACACACACACACACACACACACACACACACACACACACACCACACCCCACCUCUCAGGACUUCACUGAGAUACCCCCGCCUCCAGGAAGCCUUCUCUCAUUCCCUAGCCAGAAGUGAUCUUUCUUUUUCUGUGUUCCUGGGGCCCAGCCCCUCUUUUUCGAAUGACCCUCAUCCUUUUCAAUCUCUUGAUAACCAAGCAUUCUCUUCCCCCAGGGGCUGUAAGCACUAGAAGGGACUAAUGAGUGUUGCAGCUGAGUAAAUUGUUAUUUCUUGGGAGCCUCUUACAUGUGAGCUAAUAGCUUUACACAGAUUCUUAACCCAAUUCUCCAUGUAAGGAACUAAAGCCCGGAGAGGAUGAAUAACUCGUUUAUGGCCCCAGGGCAGAAAUUAAAAUCCACUCACUUUAUUCAACAUGGAGAGGCUCACUAAUGGAGACCACCUCCCUGCAAAAGGGAGCUCAGGGCUCCAGUCUAGGAGUACCCAGGAAGGAAGAGGCGCUCUCAGGACGGGGCUGGAAGGAGCAGCCUGCUCCUGGGGCUCACCGCCCAGCCUUCUUCAGUGGUUGGUCACAAAGGGCAGCCAUGUUGUUUCUGGGAAAGUACCCCCUGUCUAACUGCACAGUUUCCCAGGAUCCUGACCUCUCUCCUCAUCGUCUAUCCUGCUGUCAGGGCAAGCUCCUUAAUGUGCAAGACUCAGCCCACUACGGCCUCAUAUACCAAAAUGCCCCAGGGAGAGGAAUGAGAAGCCACUCCCUUAAAAGACCCUCUGUCUCUGGGGCGCCUGGGUGACUCAGUCGGUUAAGCGUCCAGCUUUGGCCCAGGUCACGAUCUCCCUGUUCGUGAGUUAAAGCCCUGCAUCAAGCUCUCUGCUGUCAGCACAGAGCCUCACCACCCCCCGUCUGCUCUUUACCCAUUCACUCUCCAAAAAUAAUAAAUAAAAAUAAAUAAAUGAACCUCCUAUCUCUUAUUUAUUUUGGUAAAGACUUUCUUAGCAGGAAAAAGGCAGAAUCCAGGUUGGGGAGCCCAGAGUUGCCAGCUCACUCUGCUUCGAGCCUCUGUUAGCUCUGGAUGAGACAGUGUGGCUUGAUGGUUAGAAUCCGACUUCAGGAUUGAAAAGACCUGUCUCAUUACUCACUACUUGUGGGAUUUGGGGCAAGUGACUAUCUCUUGGUGCCUUCAGUUCCCCAGCUAUAAAAUGGAGAAAACCAAAGUGCAUUCCCCAGAGGCUUUCGGUAAGGAUUAAAAAGGAUAGGGAAACUUAAAGCCAGAGAGUAGCUGUAGGGAACCCUCUCUUUCCAUUCUCUCUCCAGCUCCAUUGACACAUGAGCGCCGCCUCUCCGUAUAUGUCAGAAGGUGGAGCUCCUCCUCUGUCCACACACCUUUCCACGUGUACACUCUACAUGUUCUCCCCUCUACCUCCGUUCGUGCUCCUGCCUUCCUCACCUCCUCUUCAUCUCCAUCCAUGCAAAUUCCACGCAUCCUAAUAUACCUCCAGUUCCAAAAAGCUUUGCCCUCUGCUGGAUCACCCCAGGGCCUCCUAUCACUUUUUGCCUUGGCCGGCAGUCACCAGUGGGCCUACCCACCCCCCUGCCUAAGUCUGUGUUCUUUUAAGGAAGAAUUCGUCCUCUGCACCUCAGCGCCCCUGGGAGGCAUCAGAACCAGCGCGAUGCCUCUGCUACUUACUUGUUCACAGGGCCGGCGACGCACCCCUGGAGGUGGCCCUAGGGCCCUGAUGACUCCUGGCCGGGGCUGGGGGGGGCUGUACUGGGGGUAGGCCAGAGGCCUGGGGUAGCUGCCGCUGGGUCCCAGGAAGUGAGGCUGGACCAUCCACUGCAGCUCCUGGCUGCCGCUCACAGCGUUGAUGCUUGGCACGAGGUGGAACUUCUGGGGGAUGAGAAACGAGGGGCCACUGAUGAGGUGUCUGUGGAUUGAGCGGCUUCUGCCAGACAGAAGCCACACUGCCAUCUACCCUCAAUGCAGCUGCUGGUUCGGAGAGCCCAGAAAGAGCACAACUUGGCAGUCAGAGGGUCUAACUUGGUGACCAAUCCCUGCUCAUGAGCUGUGUGACUUUGGGUAGGUCUCAUAACCUUGCUGUGCCUUCAUUACCCCGUCAGAACUAAUACUUAUAAUAAAGUAUGAAUUCCAGGCACUGUCCCAACCACUUUACAAA